UGUGGGAGCUGGCUUGCCUGCGACAGCGGUGUGUCAGUUUGCAGAUAAAUUGGCUGACCUGCCCUCAUCGCAGGCAAGCCAGCUCCCACA
RNAcentral lists this unclassified non-coding RNA (90 nucleotides) under Pseudomonas libanensis. The record is from RNAcentral. Lineage: Bacteria; Pseudomonadati; Pseudomonadota; Gammaproteobacteria; Pseudomonadales; Pseudomonadaceae.